Molecule: ribosomal RNA, 393 nt
Filed under: uncultured bacterium
Lineage: Bacteria
Description: partial 16S ribosomal RNA
Rfam family: Bacterial small subunit ribosomal RNA
Source: RNAcentral
AUACGGAGGAUGCGAGCGUUAUCCGGAUUUAUUGGGUUUAAAGGGUGCGUAGGCGGCCUUGUAAGUCAGCGGUGAAAUUUUGCAGCUUAACUGUAAAAGUGCCGUUGAUACUGUGAGGCUAGGAUUUGGUUGCUGUGGGUGGAAUGUGUGGUGUAGCGGUGAAAUGCUUAGAGAUCACACAGAAUAUCGAUUGCGAAGGCAGCUCACAAAGCCAAGAUUGACGCUGAGGCACGAAAGUGUGGGGAUCAAACAGGAUUAGAUACCCUGGUAGCCCAUACUGUAAACGAUGAUAACUCGCUGUCGGCGAUAUACAGUCGGUGGCCAAGCGAAAGCGAUAAGUUAUCCACCUGGGGAGUACGACCGCAAGGUUGAAACUCAAAUGAAUUGACGGGG